RNAcentral lists this long non-coding RNA (313 nucleotides) under Linum usitatissimum (flax). RNAcentral describes it as "long non-coding RNA (LUSI_LNC006911)". Lineage: Eukaryota; Viridiplantae; Streptophyta; Magnoliopsida; Malpighiales; Linaceae. The record is from RNAcentral.
UUCGAUGAUGCUACUGUUCCCGUUGAGAAUGAAACGUCCGCGUUUGAAGGAGCUGGUGAUACUGUUCUUGUUCCGUUGAAUUCUCCCACGCGUAAUAAUCCAGUGCAAUCUGGAGUUGAGAAAGUGAAGAUAUUUGGGGGCAUCAGUGAACCAGAGACAAAAGUUUGUGAUGAGGAUGAAGAAGCACCAAAUAGUUACUCCUUUACUACAUACUGCGGCAUUGGCGUAAUUUUGGACGAUGUUCUUGCUACGGAGGCACCUCAUGAUCAUCAGGAUACUAUACGAACCGGUAAGGACGGAGUGAUACCGAGAG